This 76-nucleotide non-coding RNA is filed under the name Acinetobacter variabilis. RNAcentral's name for it is "Glycine riboswitch aptamer". It matches the Rfam family "Glycine riboswitch aptamer", at positions 7 to 88 of the family's 94-position model. Rfam says of the family: This family represents the bacterial glycine riboswitch. Glycine riboswitches usually consist of two metabolite-binding aptamers domains with similar structures in tandem. The record is from RNAcentral. Lineage: Bacteria; Pseudomonadati; Pseudomonadota; Gammaproteobacteria; Moraxellales; Moraxellaceae.
AUUGCAGGAGAGAAAUGCUACUGCAUUCGCCGAAGGAGCAAGGUCCCAGGAAACUCUCAGGCAAAAGGACUGCAAU